RNAcentral lists this unclassified non-coding RNA (336 nucleotides) under soil metagenome. Its description in RNAcentral is "partial contains 5.8S ribosomal RNA, internal transcribed spacer 2, and large subunit ribosomal RNA". The stretch from base 1 to 120 matches the Rfam family "5.8S ribosomal RNA", at positions 35 to 154 of the family's 154-position model. The record is from RNAcentral.
GAUGAAGAACGUAGUGAAAUGCGAUAAGUAAUGUGAAUUGCAGAAUUCAGUGAAUCAUCGAAUCUUUGAACGCACAUUGCGCCCGCCAGUAUUCUGGCGGGCAUGCCUGUUCGAGCGUCAUUUCAACCAUCAAGCCCCCGGCUUGUGUUGGGGACCUGCGGCUGCCGCAGGCCCUGAAAAGCAGUGGCGGGCUCGCUGUCACACCGAGCGUAGUAGAUUUCAUCUCGCUCAGGGCGUGCUGCGGGUUCCGGCCGUUAAACCACCUUCAUAACCCAAGGUUGACCUCGGAUCAGGUAGGAAGACCCGCUGAACUUAAGCGUAUCAAUAAGCGGAGGA